UACGAAGGGGGCUAGCGUUGCUCGGAAUCACUGGGCGUAAAGGGUGCGUAGGCGGGUCUUUAAGUCAGGGGUGAAAUCCUGGAGCUCGACUCCAGAACUGCCUUUGAUACUGAAGAUCUUGAGUUCGGGAGAGGUGAGUGGAACUGCGAGUGUAGAGGUGAAAUUCGUAGAUAUUCGCAAGAACACCAGUGGCGAAGGCGGCUCGCUGGGACGGUACUGACGCUGAGGCGCGAAAGCGUGGGGAGCAAACAGG
This 253-nucleotide ribosomal RNA is filed under the name uncultured bacterium. RNAcentral's name for it is "partial 16S ribosomal RNA". It matches the Rfam family "Bacterial small subunit ribosomal RNA", at positions 524 to 776 of the family's 1533-position model. The record is from RNAcentral.